ACACAGAGGAAAGAAACCUUUCCUUCUCCACCCCUGGGUGGUAGAAGAUGAUUUCUCCUCCAGAGACAUAAAAACAACAGGUGCUCAUCAGACAGAAUCUUAAAUUCAAGCUGGUUGGCAUCCAACUUCUCAAGUGUUGUUUGUCAGAAUUAAAUGAAGAAUCAUGGAAAGUGGUUCACCUAGUGUACAGCUAUUCACAAAGUUGUUGUCUACGGCCAUACCACCCUGAAAGCACCCAAUCUCAUCUGAUCUCGGAAGCAACUGCAAUUUUAUACACUUGUAGAAGUCACAGACACAUACUGGAAUUUCAGCUUCCCCGAUUCUAAGACAAGCUUGUCUCCAAAGGCAGUCAGAAGGAACCUUUGGGCAGAGAUUUUUCCCCAAAGACCCUACCUGAUCAAAAGAGCGUGUCUUCAGUCUUCAAGGAGGCUGGCUUCUCAUGCACUGAAUCCUCGCCUCUUCCACCACUGGUUCCCGGGCUCAGGUUCAGGAGGAAGUGCGGGAUGUGCGAAAAGGGAAGUCGAAGGUGUUUCCCACCUAGUAGCUCCAAGUGAACAGUAUUGGAAAUUAUGCCCUAAAGAGAAGAUUGUUCACUAAGAGAAUCCACAGAAAAGGAAGAAAUAUGUCUCCCCACAUACACAUAAAUCUCAACAUAGAAAC
This 660-nucleotide long non-coding RNA is filed under the name Heterocephalus glaber (naked mole-rat). RNAcentral's name for it is "lncRNA (ENSHGLG00100039036.1)". The record is from RNAcentral. Lineage: Eukaryota; Metazoa; Chordata; Mammalia; Rodentia; Bathyergidae.